GUUGCUAUACACAUUUGUUGCGUAGUGAAAGAGCUUCAUAGAUAACUUAAAGUGUUUUUGUGUAAAUCUAGGAUUUUAGGAACAAUUAAUUGUGAAUUCGCCUUCAAGAAAAGUCUUGAAAUCCGACAACAAUGGGUGCUGGCGGAGAUGCGAAGUGUGUCGUGUUUGGAAUAUUUUGGCUCAUCGUGCUCCUUCUCCUGGCGUGGCCCAUCGGGUUCCUGUUCGCCUGGCUGUACGUGCUGCUGCAGCCCUUCUGCAUCUGUAUCUCGAGCCUGAAGGACCUGUCCGCCACCCUCCUGAAGCUCGUCCAGCUGCCUCAGCUGUGCACAGAGAAGAUGAUGAGGGGGGAUGGUUGUUCGUAGAGAGACACAAGACUGGUUAACAAGUACAGUGUUAACAUGUGAAAUUGUUAAAUUAAGGCGUGGUUAUGAUCUGAGUAGGCCCUAAUUAUUAAUCAUUAAAAUAAUUGUUUAUUUAAAUUAAUUCUUAAAAACGUGUGAAAACAUUGUAUAAAUAAACCACACUUUCAAUCUUCUAAAUAUAAAAUAUUAAAAUUUAUAAUUGACGUACUUUUACAGGACACAUUUAAAGCACUAUGCUAAUUUUCUAUUUUUAAAAGUUUAGCUCUUUUAUUUGACGAUGUGACUGCAGAAGCUAAGACAUGACUAAAUGCCGAUAAAUAAACUGUGUGAGAAACUAGAUAACUCCAAACAUUAUGUUGUUAACAAUGAAAGAAAGUGAUGUACAAAGUGCGCAUGUAUGUGUUAGUAUUCCUAUAAGUGAUGUAAGCUAAUUAUUAUGUUUGAGUUUUUUAAUCCCAUAAGGUGUCAAGCUAUAAAUAUUUCUCUGAGAUAGGUAAUCAUAGGUCAGAUUGUGUUAUUUUAACUAAACUUUAAUUCAUUUUAUUCAUAAGAAUUUUAUUUAGUUAUUAUAAUAAAAGAUUUAUAUGGUCAUGACUGUAUUCAAAUAAAUGCGUUAAAUUUUUC
This is a long non-coding RNA of Physella acuta, 986 nucleotides long. RefSeq lists it as uncharacterized. The record is from RefSeq and is a predicted model, not a curated record. NCBI's taxonomy places the organism in Eukaryota, Metazoa, Mollusca, Gastropoda, Physidae.